AGUGGAUGAAUGUUUGGUAAUGAGUAGUGUUUGGUAAUGAGUGGAUGUAAUGGGUGUAGUGGGUUGUGGUAAUGAGUGGAUGUAAUGGGUGUAGUGGGUGGAUGUUUGGAGAAUGGAUGUGUUGGGUGAAAUGAGUGGAUGUAGUGGUAGGUGAAUGUGUUGGGUGAAAUGAGUGGAUGUAGUGGUAGGUGAAUGGAUGUGUUG
This 204-nucleotide long non-coding RNA is filed under the name Malus domestica (apple). RNAcentral's name for it is "long non-coding RNA (MDOM_LNC015623)". Lineage: Eukaryota; Viridiplantae; Streptophyta; Magnoliopsida; Rosales; Rosaceae. The record is from RNAcentral.